This 377-nucleotide unclassified non-coding RNA is filed under the name uncultured Acidimicrobiia bacterium. Its description in RNAcentral is "contains 16S-23S intergenic spacer region". Lineage: Bacteria; Bacillati; Actinomycetota; Acidimicrobiia. The record is from RNAcentral.
UCCGAGUUAUCCCCGGCAGUCUCCUAUGAGUCCCCACCAUUACGUGCUGGCAACAUAGGACAAGGGUUGCGCUCGUUGCGGGACUUAACCCAACAUCUCACGACACGAGCUGACGACAGCCAUGCACCACCUGUCACGGGCCCAAAAGGACACUGUGUUUCCACAGCUUUUCCCGUGAUGUCAAGCCCAGGUAAGGUUCUUCGGGUUGCAUCGAAUUAAGCCGCAUGCUCCGCCGCUUGUGCGGGGACCCGUCAAUUCCUUUGAGUUUCAGCCUUGCGGCCGUACUCCCCAGGCGGGGCACUUAAUGCGUUAGCGCCGGCACCCAGAGGGUCGCUCCCCCAGGCACCUAGUGCCCAACGUUUACAGCGUGGACUACC